GAUUCGAUGGGCCAUAGCAAUCCUGUGAUUUAUGCAUGGAGGCUGCUUCUCCUCAGCAGCCGCCAUAGCCCGGUCACUGGUACAUGAUUC
Molecule: microRNA precursor, 90 nt
Organism: Cercocebus atys (sooty mangabey)
Lineage: Eukaryota; Metazoa; Chordata; Mammalia; Primates; Cercopithecidae
Source: Ensembl